RNAcentral lists this ribosomal RNA (497 nucleotides) under uncultured bacterium. RNAcentral's name for it is "partial 16S ribosomal RNA". It matches the Rfam family "Bacterial small subunit ribosomal RNA", at positions 28 to 507 of the family's 1533-position model. The record is from RNAcentral.
GAUGAACGCUGGCGGCGUGCCUAAUACAUGCAAGUCGAGCGAACGGACGAGAAGUUUGCUUCUCUGAUGUUUGCGGCGGACGGGUGAGUAACACGUGGAUAACCUCCCUAUAAGACUGGGAUAACUUCGGGACACCGGAGCUAAUACCGGCUAAUAUUUUGAACCGCAUGGUUCAAAAGUGAAAGCCGGCCUUGCUGUCACUUAUAGAUGGAUCCGCGCUGCAUUAGCUAGUUGGUAAGGUAACGGCUUACCAAGGCGACGAUGCAUAGACGACCUGAGAGGGUGAUCGGCCACACUGGAACUGAGACACGGUCCAGACUCCUACGGGAGGCAGCAGUAGGGAAUCUUCCGCAAUGGGCGAAAGCCUGACGGAGCAACGCCGCGUGAGUGAUGAAGGUCUUCGGAUCGUAAAGCUCUGUUAUUAGGGAAGAACAUAUGUGUAAGUAACUGUGCACAGCUUGACGGUACCUAAUCAGAAAGCCACGGCUAACUACGUG